AGUGAACGCUGGCGGUAGGCCUAACACAUGCAAGUCGAACGGCAGCACAGUAAGAGCUUGCUCUUACGGGUGGCGAGUGGCGGACGGGUGAGGAAUACAUCGGAAUCUACUUUUUCGUGGGGGAUAACGUAGGGAAACUUACGCUAAUACCGCAUACGACCUACGGGUGAAAGCAGGGGAUCUUAGGACCUUGCGCGAUUGAAUGAGCCGAUGUCGGAUUAGCUAGUUGGCGGGGUAAAGGCCCACCAAGGCGACGAUCCGUAGCUGGUCUGAGAGGAUGAUCAGCCACACUGGAACUGAGACACGGCCCAGACUCCUACGGGAGGCAGCAGUGGGGAAUAUUGGACAAUGGGCGCAAGCCUGAUCCAGCCAUACCGCGUGGGUGAAGAAGGCCUUCGGGUUGUAAAGCCCUUUUGUUGGGAAAGAAAAGCAGCAGGUUAAUACCCGGUUGUUCUGACGGUACCCGAAGAAUAAGCACCGGCUAACUUCGUG
This 492-nucleotide ribosomal RNA is filed under the name uncultured bacterium. Its description in RNAcentral is "partial 16S ribosomal RNA". It matches the Rfam family "Bacterial small subunit ribosomal RNA", at positions 29 to 507 of the family's 1533-position model. The record is from RNAcentral.